UACGUAGGGCGCAAGCGUUAUCCGGAAUUAUUGGGCGUAAAGAGCUCGUAGGCGGUUUGUCGCGUCUGCUGUGAAAGCCCGGGGCUCAACCCCGGGUCUGCAGUGGGUACGGGCAGACUAGAGUGAUGUAGGGGAGACUGGAAUUCCUGGUGUAGCGGUGAAAUGCGCAGAUAUCAGGAGGAACACCGAUGGCGAAGGCAGGUCUCUGGGCAUUAACUGACGCUGAGGAGCGAAAGCAUGGGGAGCGAACAGG
RNAcentral lists this ribosomal RNA (253 nucleotides) under uncultured bacterium. RNAcentral's name for it is "partial 16S ribosomal RNA". It matches the Rfam family "Bacterial small subunit ribosomal RNA", at positions 524 to 776 of the family's 1533-position model. RNAcentral also lists the same sequence under 1 other name. The record is from RNAcentral.